CUAGCGACUGGGUGACUUUAUUCACCCGCUUCGGAUGUUAUCAGUCCAUCAGGCGUUAUUAGCAGAAAUCAGUCCCAUAGAUGUGGGCCAUCCACCUGCUAGACUGUUCAGAAGGUUGGUAUCAUCCAUCCAGAUGGAGGAUCACUGACAGGAGCGUGGAAGACUCCAGAAUCCACUCUGGCUGGAAUCCGGUGGAUACAGCAGUGUUACAGGUGUGGGGAUAAUAUGUAAGACUGCAGUGAAGCGAUGUACCAGAUGAAUCCCUGGCCAAAGAACAGUUCUCCACAGUCGCUGUCCACAUGGGUCAGUGGGACCAAGCAGCACUCUCUAAUGUGUGGACUCUGACCAGCAACAUCCAGCAAGACCCAGGCAGCGUUUUCUAUCUCCCAGCUGGAGUUUUUUGUUAGUCUGUGACUGGAGAGUCAGAUUUUUGUUGAAGCUGGAGGAACAGAGAGGUUAAUACACGCUACUGAUCCCUGAUGGGAGAAUCAUCACCUCUGCCAACAAAGAAGCCUGGUGGAUGUUUGUUUGCAGUCUGGUGAUGGGACAUCAUGCUCUGCAUCUUCAAAGUGUGUCUCUUGAUUAUUAUUCAUACACAGUAAUGUGAAUUAUGCUUAUAUCUAGUAUAACUGGACCAACCUGGUGCUCUUCAUUUAUGGGGGCUGUUGAGUCUGAAUGUUGGAUGUUGUGUAUCUCGUGUUCUCUGGGCUUUGUUGUCCUCAGUCUUUUUGCAGAAUCAGAAAACAAAACCAGGAGGCCUGUACAUGUUUCUUCUCCAAUUGGAUGAUGAUAAGACCGUGACACGGGAUGCCACCUUUAGUCUUGUGAUGAAGCAAAGCUCAGGAAGAAGUGUGAUUAAAUGGUACCCACAUGUGUGCUGUUGAGAAGGAUGUACAAGGGCACCUGCAGCCAAAUCCAAGCCUCCUCAGCAACUUCAAGUCUGUCAGCGUGCUGAGGUCACAGAAACAAGAAAAGAAGCUUCAGACUUCAGAGUGUUGUUUACAGUUUUCUGUCAUCAUGAUCUCCCCUGAAGUUUAUCACUAUUAGGCAAGCAAGCAGAGCGGCAGUUUGUGCUCACAGAUGGUGACGGUGUGGAGAGACGGUGGUGUUUCCUCAGAAGAACUAGCAGAGUCACCAAGGACACAAGUCCAUCUCACCACCUUGACUUGUUGAUCAGUGGACACACUUGUCUCCCCUUUAAAGGAGAUACUCUUAGAGAGAGACGAUCAGAGUCAUCCCUAAAUAUGGGCAGGAUAUCACUAUUGGACUGUCUAACCUGCCCGAGCAGCACUGAAUGACCACCAUACAUGAUCAGUUCCUGCAACAUUCAGCAGCUCUGCUUUUGUGUCAAAUGUCCAACAACUGGAGAGGAAACUACACCACUGUACUGGGAUGUUUCACCAACACGUGCCAGACGCUGUUCCUUCAUGGUGACAUCACCAGAGACGGCCCCGCCCACCUCAUGACCUCGCCAUUGAUCAUGAUGAUUUUAAUGAUGACAGCGAGCGGAACUAAGACUGUAAAAAUCAGAAUGUUUAGAUGCUUUCUAAUUAUUAAUGAACACUGAGAGCCUCUUUCUGUGUUUUGUCUGUUUUUUUUUACUUCAUUUGUUACUAACAAAGUUCACCAAACUCACACAGUUUACAUUCUGUAUGUUUCCAUCUUUACCAGCCACACUCUUAACUGCAAUUAGAAAACAAACCUUAGAAAUCGUCGUUUUUCUCUUUUGUAAUUUUGUAAUUCAGUGAAUAUACUGCGCUGCUUCCUUUAAUUGCGUCUCACAUUGCUUUAAGUUUUUCAGUGUCCAGCUAUUUUUUACUGCUGUUUGAAUUCUCUGUAUGUUUGACCCUGUAGACUGUUUAAUGGACUGCUUGUCUUCCUGUUUGUAACCGCCGCCUGUUUUUGACUAAAGAUUUGGAUUUCUGACUUUAA
Long non-coding RNA from Pelmatolapia mariae (spotted tilapia), 1932 nucleotides. RefSeq lists it as uncharacterized. The transcript has 8 exons. Lineage: Eukaryota; Metazoa; Chordata; Actinopteri; Cichliformes; Cichlidae. The record is from RefSeq and is a predicted model, not a curated record.